This 481-nucleotide ribosomal RNA is filed under the name uncultured bacterium. RNAcentral describes it as "partial 16S ribosomal RNA". It matches the Rfam family "Bacterial small subunit ribosomal RNA", at positions 28 to 507 of the family's 1533-position model. The record is from RNAcentral.
GAUGAACGCUGGCGGCGUGCUUAACACAUGCAAGUCGAACAAAGCACUUUAUUUGAUUUCCUUCGGGACUGAUUAUUUUGUGACUGAGUGGCGGACGGGUGAGUAACGCGUGGGUAACCUGCCUUGUACAGGGGGAUAACAGUUGGAAACGGCUGCUAAUACCGCAUAAGCGCACAGCAUCGCAUGAUGCAGUGUGAAAAACUCCGGUGGUAUAAGAUGGACCCGCGUUGGAUUAGCUAGUUGGUGAGGUAGCGGCCCACCAAGGCGACGAUCCAUAGCCGACCUGAGAGGGUGACCGGCCACAUUGGGACUGAGACACGGCCCAAACUCCUACGGGAGGCAGCAGUGGGGAAUAUUGCACAAUGGGCGAAAGCCUGAUGCAGCGACGCCGCGUGAGCGAAGAAGUAUUUCGGUAUGUAAAGCUCUAUCAGCAGGGAAGAUAAUGACGGUACCUGACUAAGAAGCACCGGCUAAAUACGUG